AUAGCGUAUAUUAAAGUUGUUGCAGUUAAAAAGCUCGUAGUUGAAUUUCGGGAUCAGUACGCCGGUCGUGCCUUCGGUAUGCACUGGUGUCACUGGUUUCUCCCUUCUGAAGAACCAUCAUGCCAUUAAGUUGGUGUGGCGGGAAAUCAGGACUGUUACUUUGAAAAAAUUAGAGUGUUUAAAGCAGGCUCGCGCUUGAAUACAUUAGCAUGGAAUAAUGAAAUAGGACGUUUGACCCUAUUUUGUUGGUUUCUAGGAUCGACGUAAUGAUUAAUAGGGAUAGUUGGGGGCAUCAGUAUUCAAUCGUCAGAGGUGAAAUUCUUGGAUCGAUUGAAGACUAACUACUG
This 347-nucleotide ribosomal RNA is filed under the name uncultured eukaryote. Its description in RNAcentral is "SSU rRNA". It matches the Rfam family "Eukaryotic small subunit ribosomal RNA", at positions 594 to 945 of the family's 1831-position model. The record is from RNAcentral.